GGGCAACACAAACAAGCCAGACAGGUACAGGCAACACGUAACGCAGACAAGCCGAAUAAGAUCGGGAUUCCUCUGUAUCUCCUUUUCGGGCCGGAACUCCUCCACCCCCAUCACUGAUAACCACCAAUCCGGACCGCUCUCCCCUGCAUCUCCUUCUUCAGGCCGGAACAUCUCCACCUCCCAGCG
Molecule: long non-coding RNA, 186 nt
Organism: Amblyraja radiata (thorny skate)
Lineage: Eukaryota; Metazoa; Chordata; Chondrichthyes; Rajiformes; Rajidae
Exons: 3
Source: RefSeq, a predicted model, not a curated record